This 109-nucleotide ribosomal RNA is filed under the name Caerostris darwini. Lineage: Eukaryota; Metazoa; Arthropoda; Arachnida; Araneae; Araneidae. The record is from RNAcentral.
AACGGCCAUACAAUGCUGAAUAUACCGGUUCUCGUUAGAUCACCGAAGUCAAGCAUCAUUGGGCGCGGUCAGUACUUGGGUGGGUGACCAUCUGGGGACACCGCGUGCC